CGCGUCACUUCCUGUCUGCUACAUUUUUUUUCUCAACAGAGGUGAUUCCUCAUGUUGUCUUCAUGCAGCCAUCAAACACACACGUGUCGCAAACUAUCACGAAAUCAUUCAGGGAAAAUGAAGUCAAAAGACGAGAACGUCGAGCAAGAAUGUGUCAGGAAGUACCUGGCCAGGUUGAGGCGCGCCCUUUGACCCCCGCUGAGCGUCACCCCUCCUUCAACAAGGUGAGUCCAAACAGGAUGUUGUCCCGUAUGGUGCCCGGCAUGAUCCAGGAAGUCUGCGAGGAGAACGACACGCGACCGCUAUGUCGGAUUUUCCCCUCGGACGGCACCAGCUCUCCCAGAAUCAUCAUUAGCAGAGAGCUCUGCAGGGAAAGAUGGUGCCUUUCAAGAUGGCCGUCGGCAGCGGCGCCCCUCCAGGACAGACGUACCUUCCCAGAGCCCGUGGAUCCCGCCACCGCCAGCAUCUGGCCCUGCUCCAGGCAGAGGCUGAUGUUCUUCAGGACAGGUGUGACGUACAGGAAGCUGCCGGACGAGGCGGUAUUGCGCUCCCGUGACCCACCUCUAUCUUCUUGACCAGCGCCAGCGUGUCGUACCACAUCUGGAUGGAUCCCGGCAGCUGCCGCGUCAGCGUCAUGCGCAGCACCAUGCAGUAGGAGGCGGUGGUGAAGAUACGGCGCAGGAUGAUGCCUUUGCUGAGCGCGUGCGGCACAAUGGCCGACACCACCACCAAGAUGGCGGAGAAGAAGUAGGCGGCGCUGUAGAAGUAACGCAAGGAUCCGAUCUUCCUGGUCAGGGUCAUCUCAUCCCUGAAGAGAAGGAGCGAAGGUCACGGUCAGACUUUUUCAUUUGGGCUAGCCAUGUUAGCAUGAUGCUAAUGAUGUCUUUACUGUCUGAUGUUCUUGAUGAUGGUCUCCAUCACGUCCUCCCAGCCGUACGCCUUCACUGAGUGGAUGUUCUCCACAAUCUCUGAGCUUGUUGAGGUGGGCCGACAUCAGACUCACCAGCUGACCCGUGCUGAUUUUAUCCAAGACCCUGCUGGACAGCUUGAGGGUCUGAAAGAAGACAGCACAUGUCAAAGAUGAGACUGAAGAGGGCGAUGCGGAUCUGCAUGCCCAGGUGAUGCAGGCCGAAGAUGGCCGGCUGCAGCAGCAGGAAGCGAGCGGUGAAGAGCAGGCACAGGCCCAGUGCCAGGAAGUAGCCCUGGUUCCGCUCGGGGGCGUGGAAGGGGUCAAAGGAGGCGAUGAUGCGACCCAGAAGCUGAGGCUGCACCGUCUUGGAGGCCUCCUACGAGAAGUCAUUUACUGGACUCUUCAGGUACAGCAAAACCCAAUUUAAUUUGGUCAUGUCUCAGGCAACAAAGGAUGGAUAUAAAGAAGAGGAUGGUUCUUGUCCAGCUAAGAGGUGUGUUGGUGGCGCCAGACGACAGAAAAAGUGCGAUGGUGCAGGGAAGAAGAAGUAGAUGAGCAGACUCACCCCAAAGUAGAGCAGGACUCCAUAGAAAGCAAACGGGCCGAUGAAGCAGCGCGCCAACGCCCGCAUCAGUCUGGGUUUGUUCUUGGCCGACACCUCUCUGUCCCAUUCUCUGCAGGGCCACAGGACAGCAGCUGUAAGUGUCCUCCUGCACCACAAUCUAACUUUUAGCAGAAACCUUUCCAUAAGAUGAAUGAUGCGGACACGUUUGUUACUGGACACUUUCUAACAGGCUUCUGCCUUGGAGACUUUGUAUGUGUAAAUAAUAUGCACCUAUAUUUAUUUGACACUUGUUUAUAUUGACAAAUGUCACGUUUUAUUGUUCAAUGAUUAUUACCUAUGUCUAGCUUGGGUGCUAUUGUGUGCUUAGCUGUUGUGUAGCUGAUAGCUCCUAGUAGCCUAUAGCCGAGUAUGUUUACCUUUUGGAAAUGACUUUAGUAAAAUGGAAGGAAAUGUG
Entelurus aequoreus (snake pipefish) is the source of this 1929-nucleotide long non-coding RNA. RefSeq lists it as uncharacterized. NCBI's taxonomy places the organism in Eukaryota, Metazoa, Chordata, Actinopteri, Syngnathiformes, Syngnathidae. The record is from RefSeq and is a predicted model, not a curated record. The transcript has 9 exons.